GAUGAAGAACGCAGCGAAAUGCGAUACUUGGUGUGAAUUGCAGAAUCCCGUGAACCAUCGAGUCUUUGAACGCAAGUUGCGCCUCAAGCCUUUAGGUUGAGGGCACGUCUGCCUGGGCGUCACAUAUCGUUGCCUGAUGCCAGUUUCCUCGGGAUGGGUGACUGUGCAGGGCGAAUGAUGGCUUCCCGUGAGCAUUGUUGCCUCAUGGUUGGUUGAAAAUUGAGUCCUUGGUAGGGAGCGCCGUGAUAGAUGGUGGUUGAGUGACGAACGAGACCCAAUCAUGUGAGACCCCUACCGAAUUUGGCCUUCAUGACCCACAUGCGUCUUUGGAACGCUCAUGACGAGACCUCAGGUCAGGCGGGGCUACCCGCUGAGUUUAAGCAUAUCAAUAAGCGGAGGA
Molecule: unclassified non-coding RNA, 400 nt
Filed under: soil metagenome
Description: partial contains 5.8S ribosomal RNA, internal transcribed spacer 2, and large subunit ribosomal RNA
Rfam family: 5.8S ribosomal RNA (bases 1-122)
Source: RNAcentral